This 77-nucleotide transfer RNA is filed under the name Candidatus Shapirobacteria bacterium CG03_land_8_20_14_0_80_39_12. Its description in RNAcentral is "tRNA-Glu". It matches the Rfam family "tRNA". From Rfam's summary of the family: Transfer RNA (tRNA) molecules are approximately 80 nucleotides in length. Their secondary structure includes four short double-helical elements and three loops (D, anti-codon, and T loops). The record is from RNAcentral. Lineage: Bacteria; Candidatus Shapironibacteriota.
GUCGCCAUCGUCUAGCGGUCCAGGACGUCGGGUUCUCAUCCCGAAAAUCGCGAGUUCGAUUCUCGCUGGCGACACCA